GCCGGGCGUGGUGGCGUGGGCCUGUAAUCCCAGCUACUAAGGAGGCUGAGGCAGGAGAAUCACUUGAACCCAGAAGGUGGAGGUUGCAGUGAGCCGAGAUUGCGCCGUUGCACUCCAGCCUGGGCAACGAGAGUGAAACUCAGUCUCAAAAAUAAAUAAAUAAAAUUAAGUCUUAUUUAUUUAUUUGAGACAGAGUGUUGCUGUGUCGCCCAGGCUCUCAGCUCACUGCAACCUCCGCCUCCCUGGCUCAAGCAAUUAGCCUGCCUCA
Molecule: small RNA, 268 nt
Filed under: Homo sapiens (human)
Lineage: Eukaryota; Metazoa; Chordata; Mammalia; Primates; Hominidae
Description: Metazoan signal recognition particle RNA (ENSG00000274704.1)
Source: RNAcentral